UAACGGCAGUCAGGUCCUGAAUUUGUAUCAUUGCCCCAUGGGCAUAAAAGAGGACAAUGAGAACACAACCAGCAUAGAAGAAUACAUAGAGUGUUCAGGUUCCGAGGUUUCUUAUCUGUUUGGGGGCAUUUCAUGGAACCUCCUCUGCCAUCAUUGUCACCAAUCUAUCAUAUCCUCACCACGCAUAAGUUCAUCAUAAAGAAAAAACAGAAAUGGAACCUCCUCAACCAUCAUUGUCACCAAUCUAUCAUAUCCUCACCACGCAUAAGUUCAUCAUAAAGAAAAAACACAAAAUGAAAAGAAAGCCUAUGAAUCAGGUCAUCACACACAAGUUUUGAUAAAACAGGAUGUUCCUAACAAAAGAAACAUCUGAUAUGAGAAAAACAAAGAGGGAAACACAAAAAGUUACAAUCAAAAUGUAGUCAAGAAUCCGAAAGAAUGAAAGGAGAGAAAAUAAAAAGAAAGCUCACCGCCAAGCGACGUGGAAUCAGUGAAGAAAGAAUUAAAUGGAGUGGAGGUCGAUGUUUGUAUAGAGGGAGAUGGUCUUUGGGAGGUGGAGUUGAGAUGGAAUUUUUGCAAGGAAUUGACACCUGCUCCUGCUCUCUCCCCUUGAAAUUCCCUACUUCCAUGACUGAAUACAAGGCUUGCCCUCCCUUUUUCUGUUUCCAUUGUAUGCAAACCCAAUCUUGUGCUCAUCUCCAUCCUCACAAGUCAGAAUAAAAUAGGGAAGAAGAAAUAUGCAUCAGCGACUACAUCAUGCCCCCUUUGGAUGCCGGCUA
RNAcentral lists this long non-coding RNA (779 nucleotides) under Amborella trichopoda. RNAcentral's name for it is "long non-coding RNA (ATRI_LNC001702)". Lineage: Eukaryota; Viridiplantae; Streptophyta; Magnoliopsida; Amborellales; Amborellaceae. The record is from RNAcentral.